Molecule: ribosomal RNA, 542 nt
Filed under: uncultured bacterium
Lineage: Bacteria
Description: partial 16S ribosomal RNA
Rfam family: Bacterial small subunit ribosomal RNA
Source: RNAcentral
UGGGGAAUUUUGGACAAUGGGCGAAAGCCUGAUCCAGCAAUGCCGCGUGUGUGAAGAAGGCCUUCGGGUUGUAAAGCACUUUUGUCCGGAAAGAAAUCCUUGGCUCUAAUACAGUCGGGGGAUGACGGUACCGGAAGAAUAAGCACCGGCUAACUACGUGCCAGCAGCCGCGGUAAUACGUAGGGUGCAAGCGUUAAUCGGAAUUACUGGGCGUAAAGCGUGCGCAGGCGGUUUGCUAAGACCGAUGUGAAAUCCCCGGGCUCAACCUGGGAACUGCAUUGGUGACUGGCAGGCUAGAGUAUGGCAGAGGGGGGUAGAAUUCCACGUGUAGCAGUGAAAUGCGUAGAGAUGUGGAGGAAUACCGAUGGCGAAGGCAGCCCCCUGGGCCAAUACUGACGCUCAUGCACGAAAGCGUGGGGAGCAAACAGGAUUAGAUACCCUGGUAGUCCACGCCCUAAAACGAUGUCAACUAGUUGUUGGGGAUUCAUUUCCUUAGUAACGUAGCUAACGCGUGAAGUUGACCGCCUGGGGGAGUACGGGUC